UACGUAGGGUGCGAGCGUUGUCCGGAAUUAUUGGGCGUAAAGAGCUCGUAGGUGGUUUGUCGCGUUGUUCGUGAAAUCUCACGGCUUAACUGUGAGCGUGCGGGCGAUACGGGCAGACUGGAGUACUGCAGGGGAGACUGGAAUUCCUGGUGUAGCGGUGGAAUGCGCAGAUAUCAGGAGGAACACCGGUGGCGAAGGCGGGUCUCUGGGCAGUAACUGACGCUGAGGAGCGAAAGCGUGGGGAGCGAACAGG
This 253-nucleotide ribosomal RNA is filed under the name uncultured bacterium. RNAcentral's name for it is "partial 16S ribosomal RNA". It matches the Rfam family "Bacterial small subunit ribosomal RNA", at positions 524 to 776 of the family's 1533-position model. The record is from RNAcentral.